ACCUGGCUCACACCGGUUUAAAMUCAGAUCAUGUAAAAUUUUAAAGGUCGAACAGACCUGCCUCAUUAGCUUYUACACCAAUAAUUUAUUUUAAUCCAACAUCGAGGUCGCAAUCUUUUUUUUCGAUAAGAACUCUAAAAAAAAUAACGCUGUUAUCCCUAAGGUAAUUUAAUCUUUUAAUCUUUACUUAAGGAUCAUUAACCUAUACAUUAAUAUUAGACAAAAAAAAAGUUCUUUAAAUUUCCCUGUCACCCCAACAAAAUAAAUAAAUAUAAGCCUAAACUAAAAUACCUAAACCCAUACUCAUAAAUACUUAUCAAACUCUAUAGGGUCUUCUCGUCUUCUAUAAAUAUUUAAGCUUUCUCACUUAAAAAUAAAAUUCUAUUACAAAUCUCCCAGAGACAGUUACUUUUUCAUCAAACCCUUCAUCCAAGCUUUCAAUUAAAAAACUAUUGAUUAUGCUACCUUUGCACGGUCAAUAUACCGCGGCCAUUUAAAUAAUCARAGGGCAGGUCARACCUAAAAUCCUGAUCAWUAGGCC
This 541-nucleotide ribosomal RNA is filed under the name Trigonopterus palopensis. Its description in RNAcentral is "partial 16S ribosomal RNA". The record is from RNAcentral. Lineage: Eukaryota; Metazoa; Arthropoda; Insecta; Coleoptera; Curculionidae.